RNAcentral lists this transfer RNA (73 nucleotides) under Planctomycetota bacterium. RNAcentral describes it as "Planctomycetes bacterium (bioreactor metagenome) tRNA-Thr". It matches the Rfam family "tRNA". From Rfam's summary of the family: Transfer RNA (tRNA) molecules are approximately 80 nucleotides in length. Their secondary structure includes four short double-helical elements and three loops (D, anti-codon, and T loops). Lineage: Bacteria; Pseudomonadati; Planctomycetota. The record is from RNAcentral.
GCCACCGUAGCUCAGUUGGUAGAGCGGCUGAUUUGUAAUCUGCAGGUCUCCGGUUCGAAUCCGGACGGUGGCU